RNAcentral lists this ribosomal RNA (1494 nucleotides) under metagenome. RNAcentral's name for it is "bacterial LSU rRNA". It matches the Rfam family "Bacterial large subunit ribosomal RNA", at positions 1406 to 2925 of the family's 2925-position model. The record is from RNAcentral.
UGGACGUAUCCGAUGGACAACAGGUUAGAUUCCUGUACCACAUAUGAACAGAACUGUGGGGACGCAUGUGGAGAGCACGAGCCGGGAAUGGAAAUACCGGUACAAGCGGAGAAGGAGUCUGGUUGGCAAAUCCGCCAGGCAAUCCGAAGACGUGAUGUGGAGCGAAUUAGAGUAGCGAAGCGUGUGAGCCAUGUGCCGAGAAAAGCCGCUAUUGUUUCAUGUGUGCCCGUACCGUAAACCGACACAGGUGGAUGAGGAGAGAAUCCUAAGGCCGGCGGAAGAAGCAUUGUUAAGGAACUCGGCAAAAUGACCCCGUAACUUCGGGAGAAGGGGUGCCUGCUAACGCAGGCCGCAGAGAAUAGGCUCAAGCAACUGUUUAGCAAAAACACAGGUCUAUGCGAAACCGAAAGGUGAAGUAUAUGGGCUGACGCCUGCCCGGUGCUGGAAGGUUAAGAGGAGAGGUUAGCGCAAGCGAAGCUUUGAAUUUAAGCCCCAGUAAACGGCGGCCGUAACAAUAACGGUCCUAAGGUAGCGAAAUUCCUUGUCGGGUAAGUUCCGACCCGCACGAAAGGCGUAAUGAUUUGAGCACUGUCUCGACAAUGCAUCCGGUGAAAUUGAAGUACCAGUGAAGAUGCUGGUUACCCGCGCCAGGACGGAAAGACCCCAUGGAGCUUUACUCCAGUUUGGUACUGGGAUUCGGUACUGCAUGUACAGGAUAGGUGGGAGACUAAGAACUUGGGACGCCAGUUUCAAGGGAGUCGCUGUUGGGAUACCACCCUUGCAGUAUUGGAUUUCUAACCAGCCGCCGUGAUCCGGCGGUGGGACAAUGCCAGGCGGGGAGUUUGACUGGGGCGGUCGCCUCCGAAAGGGUAUCGGAGGCGCUCAAAGGUUCCCUCAGAAUGGUUGGAAACCAUUUGAAGAGUGCAAAGGCAGAAGGGAGCUUGACUGCGACACCGACGGGUGGAGCAGGUAGGAAACUAGGACUUAGUGAUCCGGUGUAUAAAGUGGGAUUGCCAUCGCUCAACGGAUAAAAGCUACCCUGGGAUAACAUGCUUAUCACUCCCAAGAGUUCACAUCGACGGAGUGGUUUGGCACCUCGAUGUCGGCUCAUCGCAUCCUGGGGCUGUAGCAGGUCCCAAGGGUUGGGCUGUUCGCCCAUUAAAGCGGUACGCGAGCUGGGUUCAGAACGUCGUGAGACAGUUCGGUCCCUAUCCGGCGCGGGCGGAGGAUAUUUGAGAGGAGCUGUCCUUAGUACGAGAGGACCGGGAUGGACGGACCACUGGUGUAUCUGCUGUCGACCAACGGCAUGGCAGAGUAGCCAAGUCCGGAAGGGAUAAACGCUGAAGGCAUCUAAGCGUGAAGCCCCCCUCAAGAUGAGAUAUCCCUCACAUAAGUGAGUAAGAUCCCUUGAAGACUACAAGGUAGAUAGGGCAGAGGUGGAAGCACGGUAACGUGUGGAGCUGACUGUUACUAAUCGAUCGAGGGCUUGACCAG